RNAcentral lists this ribosomal RNA (405 nucleotides) under uncultured bacterium. RNAcentral's name for it is "bacterial SSU rRNA". It matches the Rfam family "Bacterial small subunit ribosomal RNA", at positions 355 to 776 of the family's 1533-position model. The record is from RNAcentral.
UGGGGAAUAUUGCACAAUGGGGGAAACCCUGAUGCAGCGACGCCGCGUGAGUGAAGAAGUAUUUCGGUAUGUAAAGCUCUAUCAGCAGGGAAGAAGCAAGACGGUACCUGACGAAGAAGCCCCGGCUAACUACGUGCCAGCAGCCGCGGUAAUACGUAGGGGGCAAGCGUUAUCCGGAUUUACUGGGUGUAAAGGGAGCGUAGACGGUUAUGCAAGUCUGAAGUGAAAGCCCACGGCUUAACUGUGGGACUGCUUUGGAAACUGUAAAACUAGAGUGCUGGAGAGGUAAGUGGAAUUCCUAGUGUAGCGGUGAAAUGCGUAGAUAUUAGGAGGAACACCAGUGGCGAAGGCGGCUUACUGGACAGUAACUGACGUUGAGGCUCGAAAGCGUGGGGAGCAAACAGG